RNAcentral lists this small RNA (882 nucleotides) under Arabidopsis thaliana (thale cress). RNAcentral's name for it is "putative long intergenic non-coding RNA". Lineage: Eukaryota; Viridiplantae; Streptophyta; Magnoliopsida; Brassicales; Brassicaceae. The record is from RNAcentral.
UGGCUCUGCGCCUCUCUUCUUUUCCAUUCAAAAACUAAAACAAAGUUCAUCUUCUCCAACCUAAUCCCUGAUUUUCUUUUUUCUUCAUCAAUUGUUGUUAGCUCUUCUUCUUUCUACACCUAUAACCACAAAUGUUUUAGGGAUAAGCUCUUCUUUUUCCCCUCAAUCUCUUCUUGGUCUGAUUUUUUAUUGUGUGCUCACUAAGCUCUUCCUAUCACCAAACUCACGGCUAGAUUCACUUAUUUUCUUAUGGUUGGCAAAUUACAAGCUUCAUCGGACGAAAAGAUUGGUCAUCAUUGUCGCCGUCGCGGGUUCGUUGUCACCGUCGGCGUCCCGUCUGUCACCGUCGCCGUGGCUCUUUGUCGCCGUUAACCCUUGUCAAAAACCCUAAAAUUUUAAUGGGUUGAGCCUUGUGAAUUCGGGUUGGGCCUUGUAAAUUUUAUAAUUGGGUUUGUAAAUUUGUUAAUGUAUUUUGAUGGUGUAAUAAGUUUGGGCUUUGUUUUCAGCCUAUUUGUUUUUUUUUUUUGUAAUUCAAUUUAAAUUAACCGAAAUAGAAAACAUUUGGUUUAAUUUUGGAAUUAUUUUUAAGCCCUAUAACCAAACCGAAUAACCCGAGUACCGACCGACCCGAACCGAAUUUGGAUAGAUUUUUCAAAAACCGAAUUUCUCCAAAACCGAAUAGCCCGACCCGAAUAAACCGAUUUCUCCGAACUCCCAAGCCUACAGGAAAGCCUAGAAAUCCAAAUACUUAUAUUAUUAAAGAUUAGGUACCCAAUAUUCUUUAGAUACUUAAUUCCAUCAGUCUUUUUCUAUUUGGACCGUAAUAUAUAUGAUAUGUACAGUAGAAACUCUAUAAAUUAAUACUCGAUAAAUUAAUAAACA